Molecule: ribosomal RNA, 326 nt
Filed under: uncultured bacterium
Lineage: Bacteria
Description: bacterial SSU rRNA
Rfam family: Bacterial small subunit ribosomal RNA
Source: RNAcentral
AAUGAACGCUGGCGGCGUGCUUAACACAUGCAAGUCGAACGAGAACUCUUCUGCUUGCAGAAGAUAGUAAAGUGGCGAACGGGUGAGUAACGCGUGGGUAAUCUACCUUCGAAUCGGGGAUAACGUUGCGAAAGCGAUGCUAAUACCGGAUAAUAUUCUUUGGACCUCGGUCCUUUGAAUCAAGGGUGGCCUCUUCUUGAAAGCUACUGUUUGAAGAUGAGCCCGCGUACCAUUAGCUUGUUGGUGGGGUAAUGGCCUACCAAGGCUUCGAUGGUUAGCUGGUCUGAGAGGAUGAUCAGCCACACUGGAACUGACACACGGUCCAG